RNAcentral lists this ribosomal RNA (585 nucleotides) under uncultured Lysobacterales bacterium. RNAcentral describes it as "bacterial SSU rRNA". It matches the Rfam family "Bacterial small subunit ribosomal RNA", at positions 61 to 628 of the family's 1533-position model. Lineage: Bacteria; Pseudomonadati; Pseudomonadota; Gammaproteobacteria; Lysobacterales. The record is from RNAcentral.
GUCGACGGUAACAGGUCCUUCGGGAUGCUGACGAGUGGCGGACGGGUGAGGAAUGCAUCGGAAUCUGCCUGUUUGUGGGGGAUAACGCAUGGAAACGUGCGCUAAUACCGCAUACGUCCUUUUGUCGGGAGAUGAUUGGAGAAAGUGGGGGACCUUCGGGCCUCACGCGAACAGAUGAGCCGAUGUCGGAUUAGCUGGUUGGUGGGGUAAAGGCCUACCAAGGCGACGAUCCGUAGCUGGUCUGAGAGGAUGAUCAGCCACACUGGAACUGAGACACGGUCCAGACUCCUACGGGAGGCAGCAGUGGGGAAUAUUGGACAAUGGGGGCAACCCUGAUCCAGCCAUGCCGCGUGUGUGAAGAAGGCCCUUGGGUUGUAAAGCACUUUUGUUGGGGAAGAAAAGUUUUCGGUGAAUAACUGGAGACGCUGACGGUACCCAAAGAAUAAGCACCGGCUAACUUCGUGCCAGCAGCCGCGGUAAUACGAAGGGUGCAAGCGUUACUCGGAAUCACUGGGCGUAAAGGGUGCGCAGGCGGCCUGCCAAGUCUGAUGUGAAAGCCCUGGGCUCAACCUGGGAACGGCAUUG